UAAGGUGGAAACCCCCUCCCCACGAGGUGAAGCGGAGUCCGCUCCAGAGCCCCGAAGUUGGGGUCGGGGAUGUCACAGAAAUCACCAGGGCAGCCAAUUCCCAUCCACAGGGGGCUCCCAUCCCAGGAUGACCCAGCACCCUCAAGCUCAGCCCCAAGCUCGGGCCAGGGAGUGAAGCCCUUGUCCCCAAGCAACAGAGUGAGGGUUUGUCUCUAACCCUGUGGGCUCCAGUGAAAGGAAAAUGGCCUGGAGGUGCCCACAGGAGAGCACCCGAGUUCUGAGACAGAUCUAUGGCUCCCAGCCUGAGUCCCCGUGAGUAACACAGGGACGCACAGAGGGGCAUGCUGCCUGCCUAUAGGGCACUCACCGAACGCGGGUGCACGCUGCGGAUCCUGAAGCCGGUCAGGUAACGAGGUGCAGAGGUGUGGGAAACACCUGGAGGGAGGCCUCCCCGGGUGCCCACCAGCCUAACCAGCCGGGACCAGCGACCAGAAGUGCUUCUGACGUUAACGCGACACACGGAAGGUGCGUAGGGGUGCCUCUGACAUCUGCACAGCGCACACAGCCGAGUUUAAGAGCCCACUGUUAAGAUGCCCAAGUGACGUUGACAAGUUUCUCCUCUGCGAGCCAGUGAGAUCUGAUGACUGCGAGAGCAUCAUGGGACCGCCAAAGGAUUCUGGAAAAUGCGGUCCCGGGUGGCCAGUGUGCGCUGACCUUCACCUGCAGGUGCGGCUUGAGGGAAACUUCUGGAGGGUGGGGUGGAAUUGAAGCAGAGGCACAAUUGUAACCUUUCUGCUCAAUAUGGGUGUUUUAUUUAUGCAUUAGUUUGUGUUUUUAAAGAUAUUACAUUAAAAAUUUGUUUAUCUUGA
Non-coding RNA from Macaca mulatta (Rhesus monkey), 869 nucleotides. NCBI's taxonomy places the organism in Eukaryota, Metazoa, Chordata, Mammalia, Primates, Cercopithecidae. The record is from RefSeq and is a predicted model, not a curated record.